GGACUACAAGGGUUUCUAAUCCCAUUUGCUCCCCUGGCUUUCGUUCCUCAGCGUCAGUUACGGCCCAGUAAGUCGCCUACGCCACUGGUGUUCUUCCUGAUAUCUACGCAUUUCACCGCUACACCAGGAAUUCCACUUACCUCUACCGCACUCCAGUCUGCCAGUAUUCAAUGCACUCCCAGGGUUGGGCCCCGAUCUUUAACACCGAACUUAACAAACCGCCUACGAACUCUUUACGCCCAAUAAAUCCGGACAACGCUUGCAUCCUACGUCUUACCGCGGCUGCUGGCAC
This 292-nucleotide ribosomal RNA is filed under the name uncultured bacterium. RNAcentral's name for it is "partial 16S ribosomal RNA". The record is from RNAcentral.